RNAcentral lists this ribosomal RNA (225 nucleotides) under uncultured bacterium. Its description in RNAcentral is "partial 16S ribosomal RNA". It matches the Rfam family "Bacterial small subunit ribosomal RNA", at positions 109 to 334 of the family's 1533-position model. The record is from RNAcentral.
CGGAACACGUACGCAACCUUCCUUUAACUGGAGAAUAGCCCCUCGAAAGAGGGAUUAAUACUCCGUAACAUAUAGAUGUGGCAUCACAAUUAUAUUAUAGCUCCGGCGGUUAAAGAUGGGCGUGCGCCUGAUUAGAUAGUUGGCAGGGUAACGGCCUACCAAGUCUGCGAUCAGUAACUGGUGUGAGAGCACGACCAGUCACACGGGCACUGAGACACGGGCCCG